Molecule: long non-coding RNA, 222 nt
Filed under: Pan troglodytes (chimpanzee)
Lineage: Eukaryota; Metazoa; Chordata; Mammalia; Primates; Hominidae
Description: long non-coding RNA NONPTRT003674
Source: RNAcentral
CUUGAGUCCAGCCAAGAAAAUGAACAGAAUCUCCCUGUUAAGAAGUGGAGUUACUCACCUGAUUGAAGAGAGAUGACACGAGUUGCAGUUAAAGAAUGGAUAAUUAAAUCACUUGGGAAGCGCAGGGGAGUGCUGGUGGAUAGGAAAGAUGGGGUUACUGAGCCAACUCCUGCCUCCAUCCCGUCUAGAUUGCCAAUCGUUUCUCCUUCCAUGACCUGCUGG